CUCCUCUCAGGGCCACACCUGGAGAGUUUCCAGUCCUCUACCAGUUGGGCUAUGAGAGGGAGAGUCAACAGAGGCCUUCCCAUUCCAUUCCUAGCUUGGCCAGUGGCUAGUGAGUGGAAGGCCUUCUGCUACAAGU
Molecule: small nucleolar RNA, 136 nt
Filed under: Ornithorhynchus anatinus (platypus)
Lineage: Eukaryota; Metazoa; Chordata; Mammalia; Monotremata; Ornithorhynchidae
Source: RNAcentral